Herpailurus yagouaroundi (jaguarundi) is the source of this 5217-nucleotide long non-coding RNA. RefSeq lists it as uncharacterized. NCBI's taxonomy places the organism in Eukaryota, Metazoa, Chordata, Mammalia, Carnivora, Felidae. The record is from RefSeq and is a predicted model, not a curated record. The transcript has 3 exons.
GUGUGUGUAUGUAUAUAUAUAUGUAUAUAUAUUUUAUAUAUAUACAUAUAUAUAUUUUUUAUAUAUACAUACAUAUAUAAAAAAGCUCAUAGUGAAAACCUGUGUGUCAGAUUUCUAGAUAUAUAAGCCUUAGUGAGACCUAGCACCUUUUUACUAGAACUAGGCACUCUGGAAUCAUCUCUAUCACCUCCUCCCCUGUUCUCUGCUCCCUCCUCUUUUUUUUCUUUUUUUUUCUUCUCUUUUCUCCUUCCCCCUCUGCUUCCUGCUUCUUUUUUUCUCUGGUGCAAUUAAAACAAAUCUCAAGAGCUAACUCUGCACCUCAGAGCUUCCCUGGCAUUACUGAAUGGUGCGUGGCCAGCUCAAAAAUCUAACGCAUCAUUCCAACUAGUGUAACUUCCCAAACAUGCAGCUACAUGCUCCAAAGCAAUGCUUAGCUGUUGUUAGCGUGCUGCCUUUGAACAUUAAAUAUGCCAAAUCCAUGGUGUCUGUAGCUGUGAGGACGUGCCCAGAGAUGCUACCAGUAGUCUGCUGUGAUAAGCAGUCUUAUUAUAUACUCUUGGCCCAUAAUGGUGACAGGUGACAUUUUGCCUAAACAGUGUCAGGGGUAAUCCAUCACUGGUUACCCCUAAUCACUAUCUGCCUUUCUAUGGGGAUCAUGUCCUUUCAAUACCAUUCAGAACGUGCCUUAGCUAAUGUAAUUUCUGGCUCUGAGAUAUAUCAGGGGAGACAAAGUCUAGAUCACUCACCAUAGGAAACCAGAGGAGCGUAUUUUGCAUUAGCAAAACGUGGAUGCUUACAUAGAUGUCACCUAACAUAGGUCUCCAGUGUGGUCCCAUUUACAUGUCUACUAUAAUUGCUCUAUGUUCUCAUAUUCUCAGCUUUAAAAUCAUCAAUAAAAAAUGAAUUAAAUAACACUGUUUUCUUUUAGCCCAGGGUGCACUGCCCAAAUCACCCCUUAGAACAAACACUGCCCUUCACCCCGCUGUCCAGACUUUUGACCCCUGACCCAUCACAGACAAGUCCCUCAACAGGAAUUGCCCUUGACUGAAGGCAGUUUCCUUACUGAGGUUUGUCCCCAACUCUGGAGGUGGGGAGGGUGAGGGAAGCUCACAUUCAACGAUGGGUGGCUAGAGAGGGUUCAAAGGUCUGGCCCCCUCACCUCCACUGGGACGACUCUAUAAGUUUAUCCCAGUCACAGAGCUUCCUAUAGGAUCAGCUGAUGCCCUGUGUGUCUUGAGGCUGCACUUGCAAAGCAAGCACACACUAAUACUAUUUGUUGGGGUCACGUGGCAGGAGGCUUAUGGAAAUUACAGAGGACCCCUCAGCCCUGAGCCAUCUUUGAAAUGGCCAUGCUUGUGAUAUGGGAAGAUAUUAUUUUUAUAGAAAUUGGGAACUGAACCAAGUUUCUUAUUACCACAGCAUCUGCAGGUUGUUCUUUAUCGGAAGCCACCAGUCCCUUCCCAACCACCUGAAAACACUUAUCUGAGGCUAUUUUCAUGGCGUAACUGGUCCUGGUGGUAGAGUUAGUGCUACCAUUUCUACCGUCAUUACCAUCCUGUUCUUCCACCCCAGGGGGACGGAGCCCCAGAGUAACUGAAAUGGGCCUUUCUCUGAGAGGUUGGUGAUUUCUUCAGCAGCCUGCCUGGCAUGUGACAUGGGAGCUUUCAGCAUGGCGAGGAAGGGGAGAGGAGGGGCUGGAGGUGGCAGGUACAGAUAGGUAGUCUGCCAGGAGCGGAGUUCAGAGAUUUAGAUCUUAGCCCGGCAUUGCUGCGUGGGCCUUGGCAAGCACUCCUCAUUUUAUCACACAGCACUCUACCUCCGUUUCUAUAACCUCCUGCAGCCUUCCUCCCAAGCAGCGUGGGAAGACAAAAACAGCUGUGCACGUUAGCAGCUUCAGCUGUUCCCACAGCAGCGCUACGCUGCAAUAUCCCAGGGGUCAUCAAAUAUUUAGGAGGAUGUUGCAGACCUUUGUAUCAUGGCCAGAAAUGCCAUGUGCUCAGGUCUGGAUUCCACUGGGUUCUUGUUCGCGUUAGCAGAAACUCGUGAUGAAAAGGAAAUGGCUCUUUUACCAAAUUGUACCGCACUAUAAGAUCAACUGUGUCUUCAUGCUCACCAGAUACAGCUACAGCUUUUAAGUUUCUUGUUAGAGAAAAUAACUAAGCGAGAACAAUACUGGAAUCAGAGUCUGUCCCAGAUGCAAAACACUUUAGAAUAUUUAUUUCUCAUUAUAAUCUAUUCAUUAAAUGUCAUAGCCUGGCCCUCUGGGGAGAGUCACAUACUACAACCCGUACUGGAGAUGAGGUUGUGUAUUUAAAGUCGGCCUUGGCUGAUAAAUGUGGAAAACUACAAGCUGCCUGAAAAUUCCCUGGUGAUGGUUGAUGCUGGAGAAUGCAGCUGGGGAUGCUGAGAAGUAUGUGCUAUUACAGCAAAGUGUGGUCUAAAUUUCCACUAAAUAUUUCCUUUCAGAUGUGUGACUUCUUUGGGGGAGAGAUAUAUAGCUCUUGUAAUCAGGGACUAGAAUACCCACUUUGGUAAAAUUUGUUCUCAAUUUAAAGUUGUUUUCUUUUUUUCUUAACACAGCUAAAAUGCCUUUAGAGUUUUGUCUUUUUCUGGAUGACUGCAAAGCCAAUUUUUAGAGACCUGCAUUGUAGCUUAAUAUUAUGUCAUUGGUUCAGUGUCAGCCAAUGGGAAGAUUAAGUGGAUUUCCAUAUCCAUAACGGCCAUCUUCAGUCCAGUUCUAGUCAACAUUUCCUUAAUGACUGGAAUGAUGGAAUAGGAAUCUGUUCAUUAAUUUUGCCAAUAAAAACAACUGGUGGGUGGCUUGUGUUUUAGACAGCCAGUCUUGAACUGUAUUAAACAAAGAAGAAAUGGAUGAUUAAAAACCAUAGAAGUUUAGAGAGUGGUUACCAGGUAGUAUUAGGGAGAACCACUAAAUUGCAUAGCACAAAAGGGUACCUAGUUCCUGGGACAUAGGCAUUGUAGGCAAUGACUUGAAGGCCAUAACGGACCCCAAACCAUAGCAAAUGGAAAAUCAAGAUGUAUAUCUUGAAAUAACCAAGUUAGCGUCUACAAUUCCAACACUGGGUCUUUUGACUGCUUCCUGGUUAUGAAACAUUUACUCUGCACUGGAGGUGGUGAAAAUGGAUCCCUUUGCAAUUUUGAUGAAGGCUGGUGUUGACUUUACAAAAUCCAGAUUGCAAAAAGCCCUGGAGUAAUGGUUUCAGUGGGAAGAAAGGACCUAACUAGAUAUACGGAUUUAGAGUAGAAAGCUGUCAACGCUCUCAAUUGAGUCAAAAGAUUCAGUUCCUGGCUCAGAUUUGAUUUAACUGGCUAAGUGACCUUGAACAAGUCCCCAAACAUCUUGGGUCCUCUAUUUCUUAGCCUAGAAAUGAGGAGUUGCAUUAGUACAGAGAUUCUCAAUCUGUGGUCCUUAGAGAGUAACGGGAGACUGAACCAUUUUCAGUGCUUAGAAAACCUAAAGAAAUAGUCUAUUUCCUAAUAAGGAGGCCAUAUAGACUAUUAUUUAAUUAACCCUGAUGAUAGAUGAAAACUUUUGAAACAUGAGUACACAUAGGAAAAAUAAUAAAAGUCUUUUUCUUGGUAAUCAAAAGGCAGGAAGCAUUUCAGUCUCUAAACUAAGGCUUAUGAUGACCCUGGUUCCCAACAGAACUGAGAAACCCUGAAGACACUGCAUUUGUAUUGCAUGAAGAGGGAGCCAGGGAAACAUCUCUCGGGGGCAGGCUGGCUUUGGGUGCAAGAUUAGAAGGAAGGCAGGGGGUAUCACUAAUACUAGCUAUGUGACAGCCACUUAUCUAAAUGCAUUAUUUCAUUUAAUCCUCAAAACCAGGUACUGUUAAUAUCCCACCUUGAAGAUGAGGAAUCUGAAGCACAAAGGUAACACUUACUAAACUCUUUAAAUGGUAGUUAUUAUUACUAACCAUCUGGAUUGUUCCCAGUGGCCAUUAAUCCCACAGAAAUGAGAGGGGCUGGAUAAAGAGAAGAAAAAAAAGGCUUCUCAUCUUCAGGCUUCUUCAAGGAGAAAAUUUAUGGUCUCUGGACUAGAGGACCUAUGUUCCAGGUUUCCGCAGGGUCUGGUUGGAGUCCACCUGGUUCCUGAGCAAAUCCUACUUUAGUAACAACAAAAUUCGAUUAAUCAUCAUCAUCGUCGUCGUCGUCAUCAUCAUCAGUAGCAGCAGCAGCAGACACCCAACAUUUCUCAAACAAAGAAUAGUUUACAAAUACCUUCAUGUGUGGGGAACCAUUUGCUCUUCUUCAACUGCCUUCUAUGGCCAGGCGGGGUAUGUAAGAAUGUUAUCAGGACACUGAGCCACUACCUGGUGUAGAUCAAUGCAAACUGUGAUGUCGUGUUCACUAUACCCUUAAAUGAGACCUAUACCUGAGGAAUCCUUUCUCGAGAUGGGCUCAGACAUUAUGGAUAUGAGAGGAAGUCUGCUGGCCUGGAGCAUGAAAACAGCAAGGAUUGAAAUAUAUAAGCAGAGAGAAGAAUUCUGUACGUUAGUGUUAUGUUUCUGAGUUUCUCCUGGGACGAGGGUGAUUCAUUAUAUAAACAGGGAUGAGAUCACAUGGGCCGAUCAGGAUCUACAAUAAAUCUUGAGACAACUCCAGGAAGGGUACUCUGUGGUGUUAGCAAUCAAAUGUAAGGAGACCACACCAUCCCCUUCUUAAGUAUCAAUGGCAACAAAGUGAAAGCACACAGGUGUCUGAUUUGUUCUUUCUAAUUCGCUAUGAUGACUUGAGGAAGUGUGGCUGCCAAGUGCCGGCUCCUAGUGUGCAUAAAGGCAGUGAUUUCAUGAGAACUAUCAGAAGAUUAAAAAAUUCAAAGAUGAAGGAUGACAAGAAAGAUGAACUGAACUAAAGUAAUUAGUGUUCAUCACAGUACUAUGUGCUGCUGUAUUGACCCGCUAUGAUCAGUUCCAACAAGAGGCCACGAAUAUACGUACAAAAUGGAAGAAACUGAACAAGGUGGAGAGAUGGGUUGGAGAAGAGGGGAAGUGGCUCUGGGCCACCAUGGCUAUCUGUGACCAGGCAGGCACUACACCAGUACAUUUUAAUGCCUUUGUAUUUGUCCUUACACUUGGCUAGUCCUAUUAGUAAGUGACAUGCUUGAUGGUUUGUUGUUUUCCUUAAUUUCCUAGAGAAAAGGUCUCUGAAAACUCUAAACUUUUCUGAGUGAAACUAAAAGAAACCGUUCCCCCC